GACGAACGCUGGCGGCGUGCUUAACACAUGCAAGUCGAACGAAAAGGCCCUGCUUGCAGGGUCCUCGAAUGGCGAAGGGGUAAGUAACACUUGGGUGAACUGCACUUGCCUUUGGGAUGAGCCUGGGAAACGGGGACGACUACUAAAAAGGCACCAUUUCUAAUGUGGUGGUUGGGAAGAGUUUUACGUGGGGGAUGAUAUGGCGGCCAAUACGCUAGUUGGGGGGGGAAUGGCAUACCCAGGCGGCGGCGGGUAGCCGGCCUGAGAGGGUGGACAGCCACAUUGGUCCUGCGAGAGGGCGCAGACGCCUACGGGCGGCAACAGUGGGGAGUCUUGCACAAUGGGCGCGAGCCUGAGGCAGCGACGCCCCGUGUGGGAUGACGUCUUUAGCGUUGUGAACUCCUUUCGCGAGAGAAGAAGCUUUUUGUGACGGUACCUAGAUAAGAAGCACCGGCUAACUACGUG
This 465-nucleotide ribosomal RNA is filed under the name uncultured bacterium. RNAcentral's name for it is "partial 16S ribosomal RNA". It matches the Rfam family "Bacterial small subunit ribosomal RNA", at positions 28 to 507 of the family's 1533-position model. The record is from RNAcentral.